GUCCAAUAUUUUCGCAGAAAAACAGAGGGUUUAAGCGGCAGUUGGUAAGAGAUUUGAGUGUGAGGGAUGGGUAAUCCAAAGCAGAAAUGGACAUCGGAGGAAGAAGAAGCACUUCGUGCCGGCGUUGCAAAGCACGGAGCUGGAAAAUGGAAGAACAUUCAAAGAGACCCCGAAUUCAACCACCUCCUUUACUCUCGCUCCAAUAUCGAUCUUAAGGAU
Molecule: unclassified non-coding RNA, 219 nt
Filed under: Hevea brasiliensis (rubber tree)
Lineage: Eukaryota; Viridiplantae; Streptophyta; Magnoliopsida; Malpighiales; Euphorbiaceae
Source: RNAcentral